AGCAGAUUCCCCUGUCGGAGCCUUCGUCCUUU
Molecule: non-coding RNA, 32 nt
Filed under: Rattus norvegicus (Norway rat)
Lineage: Eukaryota; Metazoa; Chordata; Mammalia; Rodentia; Muridae
Source: RNAcentral